GAUGAACGCUGGCGGCGUGCUUAACACAUGCAAGUCGAACGGAAAGGCCCAAGCUUGCUUGGGUACUCGAGUGGCGAACGGGUGAGUAACACGUGGGUGAUCUGCCCUGCACUUCGGGAUAAGCCUGGGAAACUGGGUCUAAUACCGGAUAGGACCACAUUUUGGAUGGUGUGGUGGAAAGUUUUUCGGUGUGGGAUGAGCUCGCGGCCUAUCAGCUUGUUGGUGGGGUAAUGGCCUACCAAGGCGUCGACGGGUAGCCGGCCUGAGAGGGUGUACGGCCACAUUGGGAGUGGGAUACGGCCCAGAAGCCGACGGGAGGCAGCAGCGGGGAAUAUCGCACAAUGGGCGCAAGACUGGUGCAGCGACGCCGAGUGGGGGAUGACGGCCUUCGGGUUGUGAGCUCCUUUCGCUAGGGACGAAGCGUUAUGUGACGGUACCUGGAGAAGAAGCACCCGCUAACUACGUG
RNAcentral lists this ribosomal RNA (466 nucleotides) under uncultured bacterium. RNAcentral describes it as "partial 16S ribosomal RNA". It matches the Rfam family "Bacterial small subunit ribosomal RNA", at positions 28 to 507 of the family's 1533-position model. The record is from RNAcentral.